GGGCCCGUAGUUCAGCUGGUCAGAACGCGCCGCUCAUAACGGCGUUGUCGCAGGUUCGAGUCCUGCCGGGCCCACCA
Molecule: transfer RNA, 77 nt
Filed under: Alphaproteobacteria bacterium
Lineage: Bacteria; Pseudomonadati; Pseudomonadota; Alphaproteobacteria
Also listed under: 2 other names
Description: tRNA-Ile
Rfam family: tRNA
About the family: Transfer RNA (tRNA) molecules are approximately 80 nucleotides in length. Their secondary structure includes four short double-helical elements and three loops (D, anti-codon, and T loops).
Source: RNAcentral